RNAcentral lists this ribosomal RNA (625 nucleotides) under uncultured bacterium. Its description in RNAcentral is "bacterial SSU rRNA". It matches the Rfam family "Bacterial small subunit ribosomal RNA", at positions 338 to 956 of the family's 1533-position model. The record is from RNAcentral.
CCUACGGGAGGCAGCAGUGGGGAAUUUUGGACAAUGGGCGAAAGCCUGAUCCAGCCAUUCCGCGUGAGUGAAGAAGGCCUUCGGGUUGUAAAGCUCUUUCGCAAGGGAAGAAAACUUAGAUACUAAUAUUAUCUGAGGUUGACGGUACCUUGAUAAGAAGCACCGGCUAACUACGUGCCAGCAGCCGCGGUAAUACGUAGGGUGCGAGCGUUAAUCGGAAUUACUGGGCGUAAAGCGUGCGCAGGCGGUUUUUGUAAGUCAGAUGUGAAAUCCCCGAGCUCAACUUGGGAACUGCGUUUGAAACUACAAGACUAGAAUAUGUCAGAGGGGGGUAGAAUUCCACGUGUAGCAGUGAAAUGCGUAGAGAUGUGGAGGAAUACCAAUGGCGAAGGCAGCCCCCUGGGAUAAUAUUGACGCUCAUGCACGAAAGCGUGGGGAGCAAACAGGAUUAGAUACCCUGGUAGUCCACGCCCUAAACGAUGUCUACUAGUUGUUGGUGGAGUAAAAUCCAUGAGUAACGCAGCUAACGCGUGAAGUAGACCGCCUGGGGAGUACGGUCGCAAGAUUAAAACUCAAAAGGAAUUGACCGGCGNGAGAGNGACGACGGACGACGACGAGGAGGAGG